CUCUGUGCUUUAACAAGACCUUCAGGUGCUCUGAAUGCACACCACAGAUUGAAAAGCAUUACUCCAAAUGACCAGAGCAGCAUGAGGUAUGUGUGUGCAUUUUUGGUUUACUUCCUUACAAGUGUCCACUUACCUGUGGUACGGAACCGACAUCCUCAUUACUUCUCAGCUAAAUAUUACUGUUUAGCAAGAUAUCGCUAAUGAUACAGAUUACUCUAGUACAAUCCUUUUCAAACUGUGGUUCCUGGACCCGCAGCAUCAAUAGCUCGUGGGAAUCGGUCAGAAGAGCAAAUUCUCUGACCACACCCCAGACCUACCGAAUCAGACACUCCGGAGCUGGAGCCCAGAAUCUGUGUUUAACAAGCCUUCCAGAUAAUUCUGGCCUGUAAAGUUUGAGACCACUACCAUAGCGCCUAACUGCUCCAACCAGCGGACAGUCCUGUCAUUAAGGACCAGGCAGAAUUUUAACAGAGAGAAAUUGAAUAAGGGAGAACAGGAGUAAUAAUCAAUUCCAUUCUUGUCUUAAAAGAAAUUGGAAAAUUUAUAGGUUCAAUAAUUUUUUAAAAUCCUUCUCCCAAACUCUUGGCCAGUGCCUAGAUUUUUACUUUUAAUUGUAACACCCCCCACCCCCUUGUUCAGGAAGACAGCCUUUGGUGGAUGCCCAAGAGACUGCCAUAAAGACAGCUUUCCUUGAUGAGAAGAACGUGCACAAAGUCAAAAGCCCACGUUAAGUUAAUGUGAUUUUCUAACCAGAUGAUUUAAAUGAUUCACAAAGGAGGUUUGACAAAAGUUGUCGUGGCCUCCACUUGAGCAAUGCAUUCGAAUUCCCUCGUCAAACAAAUAAAAAGGAGGGUUUUGCAAGCAAAUGCUGAUUUGUGGAUGCGCAGGGACUGCAGAGUUCAUGAGCAAGGAGGCACACCUGCGCUGGAAUUUUAACGCCUGAAAAGCCAUUUAAGGAGCAACUGAGGAGCAAUCAGUAUAACCUGAUGGGGCCCCCAAAAGUGCCAGGAGGAGGUACUUCCCAUUUCAAACAGAUCGGAUCAUCAGGCAUAGAUUGGAACCAAAUGUGAGGCCAUCCUCUCGCCUCAGGGCAGCGCUGCAUCAGCUCAGAGGCAGACACACAGUUUCAAAAUGGACUUCUUGGGGCUGGCCGGGUGGUGCAGCGGUUAAGUGCACACAUUCUGCGUUGGCAGCCUGGGGUUCGCCCGUUGGGAUCCCAGGUGCGGACAUGGCACCGCUUGACCAGCCAUGCUGUGAUGCAGAGCCCAUGGAAAGUUGACUCCUCCCCCAGCUUCCUAGAUGGGGUAAGAUUGGUCCAAGUUAGUCAGAGACUCACAUCCCCAUGUCAUAUGGGGCAGUUCUGGCCAAUGAACUAUAAGGUGGCUCUGUUGGUGGCUUCUCGAAAGGUCUGGCGUGGGCUGGAGAUUCUGCAUAUCUACAGGAUCCCAGUGAUGCUGCUGAGGCUGUGUCUGGGGACCCUACUUCUGGAGCACAGCACUCACCACCACCUGCCUUACCCAGUUAAUCGUGCCCCUCUUCCCCCAUCAGACUCUGAUCUCCCACAGGAUUACGAGCUGUGGCAUGGUCUUCCCUAACAUCCAUGCCUAGCAUCCUGGGCUCAGCGUAUGUGCCAAGAAACUGAUGAAAGUGAAUGGCGUUAAAUUAAAUUCGAGUAAAAACGGAUCAUUGCUACAAUUUAGCUCUGUUUUCUCCUUUCUGCCGCUGCAGAUGCACUGUUGACUCUGGAGGGAGGAGCCCAGUGUCCUCUGCUGGUUAACUAAGGAGAGGCCACGGCCAGCAGUCUUCAAGAAUCCAAAGCUUAUCUGCAGUAUUUUUAUGUACCCGAUCAAACUCUCCUUCAGGCAAAAGUACUUGUUUAAGCAGAUGUGUCAGCCAGCAGAUCCAGGCCAUAGCAGCUAUGAAGCCAGAACACAUUUUGCAUAAUAUUUGUGGAAUCACACGAAAGCAUAUUUUCUCCUAAAAAGUAUCUCUAUUGGGAACACGUGUAAUGAAUGCUGCCUUCCCGCCACCUGAAGAAGAGCUGACCUUCACCACCCUCUGUCCUAAUCCAUCCUAAGUAUUUCGUGCUGGGAACAUCUAAGGGUUCUGCCUUCCCGGAACCUUUUAACUGUGAGCCC
Molecule: long non-coding RNA, 2138 nt
Filed under: Equus caballus (horse)
Lineage: Eukaryota; Metazoa; Chordata; Mammalia; Perissodactyla; Equidae
Description: lncRNA (ENSECAG00000056753.1)
Source: RNAcentral